This 443-nucleotide ribosomal RNA is filed under the name uncultured bacterium. RNAcentral's name for it is "partial 16S ribosomal RNA". It matches the Rfam family "Bacterial small subunit ribosomal RNA", at positions 338 to 795 of the family's 1533-position model. The record is from RNAcentral.
CCUACGGGGGGCAGCAGUGAGGAAUAUUGGUCAAUGGGCGCGAGCCUGAACCAGCCAAGUAGCGUGAAGGAAGAAGGCUUUCUGGUUGUAAACUUCUUUUAUCAGGGACGAAGCAAGUGACGGUACCUGAUGUAUAAGCCACGGCUAACUACGUGCCAGCAGUCGCGGCAAUCCGUAGGUGGCAAGCGUUAUCCGGAUUUACUGGGUGUAAAGGGCGUGUAGGCGGGAGUGCAAGUCAGAUGUGAAAACUAUGGGCUCAACCCAUAGCCUGCAUUUGAAACUGUACUUCUUGAGUGCUGGAGAGGUAAUCGGAAUUCGGUGUGUAGCGGUGAAAUGCGUAGAUAUACCGAGGAACACCAGUGGCGAAGGCGGAUUGCUGGACAGUAACUGACGCUGAGGCGCGAAAGCGUGGGGAGCAAACAGGAUUAGAUACCCGAGUAGUC